This 555-nucleotide ribosomal RNA is filed under the name uncultured bacterium. Its description in RNAcentral is "partial 16S ribosomal RNA". It matches the Rfam family "Bacterial small subunit ribosomal RNA", at positions 355 to 902 of the family's 1533-position model. The record is from RNAcentral.
UGGGGAAUUUUGGACAAUGGGCGAAAGCCUGAUCCAGCAAUGCCGCGUGUGUGAAGAAGGCCUUCGGGUUGUAAAGCACUUUUGUCCGGAAAGAAAUGGCUCUGGUUAAUACCUGGGGUCGAUGACGGUACCGGAAGAAUAAGGACCGGCUAACUACGUGCCAGCAGCCGCGGUAAUACGUAGGGUCCAAGCGUUAAUCGGAAUUACUGGGCGUAAAGCGUGCGCAGGCGGUUGUGCAAGACCGAUGUGAAAUCCCCGAGCUUAACUUGGGAAUUGCAUUGGUGACUGCACGGCUAGAGUGUGUCAGAGGGGGGUAGAAUUCCACGUGUAGCAGUGAAAUGCGUAGAGAUGUGGAGGAAUACCGAUGGCGAAGGCAGCCCCCUGGGAUAACACUGACGCUCAUGCACGAAAGCGUGGGGAGCAAACAGGAUUAGAUACCCUGGUAGUCCACGCCCUAAACGAUGUCAACUAGUUGUUGGGGAUUCAUUUCCUUAGUAACGUAGCUAACGCGUGAAGUUGACCGCCUGGGGAGUACGGUCGCAANAUUAAAAGCUC